UGCUGGGUUUGUCCCUUUUUAACCCAGCGCUGGGUUAUAUUUAACCCAUCAUUUUUUAGAGUGUAUGUUUAGCUCUAGCAUAUGUGCGUUUGGUUUUUCUGUAGUGUUUGGUGUCUGUAAGAACAUGAUACUUCACAUCUAAACGACGUUCCUCUUAAUAAGAUAGUUCCUUCAGCAGUGGGCAGGACUAACUCACAAACCGUAAUCCCAUUGGUUGAGAUGUGAUUAAUAACCCGACACCUGUCAGAGAUUAGCGUAACAAACAAGAAGUUGCACGAACAUGUGAGUACAGAGAAAAGUCAUCUGAAUGCGGAUAUUUCUGGUUCAGAGCUGCUGGGGGUCAUGAGGAGUUGGCAGGAGGAGCAGGGGAGCAACCGCUGAACCCUCAUUCAUCUUUGACCUUUUUCUGGAUGCAGUGAAGUGCACUGUUUUCUGUCGUAAUGCACCUUCUCUUGGAGCCAUCUGGUUAUACCAGCUCGGACCCAUUCUGUGGGUCUCAGUUGGUACAGCUGUGGGACUGGAGACAGACG
This 530-nucleotide long non-coding RNA is filed under the name Sinocyclocheilus anshuiensis. Its description in RNAcentral is "lncRNA (ENSSANG00000050635.1)". Lineage: Eukaryota; Metazoa; Chordata; Actinopteri; Cypriniformes; Cyprinidae. The record is from RNAcentral.